This 182-nucleotide unclassified non-coding RNA is filed under the name uncultured fungus. Its description in RNAcentral is "sequence contains ITS1, 5.8S rRNA gene". The record is from RNAcentral. Lineage: Eukaryota; Fungi.
CAAAUGAACCACUCUGAGGUUGAGUCUUUGCUAGUUUACUGGUAUUGAUUCCUUCAGAGUAACAACACACUGUGCACCGUUAAUGUUUUUUGGGAGAGCGUGGAUAAGUUAACUCUGGUCCUGCUCCCUGCUUAUCAACAAACCUAUUAAAUAACUCUGAAUAUUUCAAACGAAAUAAAAUA